AGUCUCCUGAAGGAACGUUGAAGAUGACGACGUUGAUAGGCCGGGUGUGUAAGCGCAGCGAUGCGUUGAGCUAACCGGUACUAAUGAACCGUGAGGCUUAACCUUACAACGCCGAAG
Molecule: ribosomal RNA, 117 nt
Filed under: Salmonella enterica subsp. enterica serovar Infantis
Lineage: Bacteria; Pseudomonadati; Pseudomonadota; Gammaproteobacteria; Enterobacterales; Enterobacteriaceae
Also listed under: 2 other names
Description: partial 23S ribosomal RNA
Rfam family: Bacterial large subunit ribosomal RNA (bases 1-105)
Source: RNAcentral